Molecule: long non-coding RNA, 104 nt
Organism: Dipodomys spectabilis (banner-tailed kangaroo rat)
Lineage: Eukaryota; Metazoa; Chordata; Mammalia; Rodentia; Heteromyidae
Exons: 3
Source: RefSeq, a predicted model, not a curated record
AUGGUUUGGCAUUCUCAACACCUCUAGUGCUAGUUUUACUUAAAUGAAAACCCUACACCAAGAAUGAACUAAAAUUCACGUGAGAAAUUUACAUGUGGUUUCCA